UGCAAGUCGAGCGAGACCUUCGGGUCUAGCGGCGGACGGGUGAGUAACGCGUGGGAACGUACCCUUUUCUGCAGGAUAGCCACUGGAAACGGUGAGUAAUACUGCAUACGCCCUUCGGGGGAAAGAUUUAUCGGAGAAGGAUCGGCCCGCGUUAGAUUAGGUAGUUGGUGGGGUAAUGGCCUACCAAGCCUACGAUCUAUAGCUGGUUUGAGAGGAUGAUCAGCCACACUGGGACUGAGACACGGCCCAGACUCCUACGGGAGGCAGCAGUGGGGAAUCUUAGACAAUGGGGGCAACCCUGAUCUAGCCAUGCCGCGUGAGUGAUGAAGGCCUUAGGGUCGUAAAGCUCUUUCGCUGGGGAAGAUAAUGACGGUACCCAGUAAAGAAACCCCGGCUAACUCCGUGCCAGCAGCCGCGGUAAUACGGAGGGGGUUAGCGUUGUUCGGAAUUACUGGGCGUAAAGCGCGCGUAGGCGGAUCAGAAAGUUGGGGGUGAAAUCCCGGGGCUCAACCUCGGAACUGCCUCCAAAACUCCUGGUCUUGAGUUCGAGAGAGGUGAGUGGAACUCCGAGUGUAGAGGUGAAAU
Molecule: ribosomal RNA, 585 nt
Filed under: Salipiger sp.
Lineage: Bacteria; Pseudomonadati; Pseudomonadota; Alphaproteobacteria; Rhodobacterales; Roseobacteraceae
Description: bacterial SSU rRNA
Rfam family: Bacterial small subunit ribosomal RNA
Source: RNAcentral